This 28-nucleotide small RNA is filed under the name Bombyx mori (domestic silkworm). RNAcentral's name for it is "ovarian small RNA-9456". Lineage: Eukaryota; Metazoa; Arthropoda; Insecta; Lepidoptera; Bombycidae. The record is from RNAcentral.
UUAUGCAAAGUGCAAACGGAAUGUGCGG